AUUGAACGCUGGCGGCAUGCCUUACACAUGCAAGUCGAACGGCAGCACGGGAGCAAUCCUGGUGGCGAGUGGCGAACGGGUGAGUAAUAUAUCGGAACGUGCCCAGUCGUGGGGGAUAACGCAGCGAAAGCUGUGCUAAUACCGCAUACGAUCUACGGAUGAAAGCGGGGGAUCGCAAGACCUCGCGCGAUUGGAGCGGCCGAUAUCAGAUUAGCUAGUUGGUGAGGUAAAGGCUCACCAAGGCGACGAUUUGUAGCUGGUCUGAGAGGACAACCAGCCACACUGGAAAUGAGACACGGUCCAGACUCCUACGGGAGGAAGCAGUGGGGAAUUUUGGACAAUGGGCGCAAGCCUGAUCCAGCAAUGCCGCGUGCAGGAUGAAGGCCUUCGGGUUGUAAACUGCUUUUGUACGGAACGAAACGGUGAACUCUAAUACAGUUUGCUAAUGACGGUACCGUAAGAAUAAGCACCGGCUAACUACGUGCCAGCCGCCGCCGUAA
RNAcentral lists this ribosomal RNA (500 nucleotides) under uncultured bacterium. Its description in RNAcentral is "partial 16S ribosomal RNA". It matches the Rfam family "Bacterial small subunit ribosomal RNA", at positions 30 to 523 of the family's 1533-position model. The record is from RNAcentral.